CACAACAACCAAGGGCUAGACAUAACCUUAAGUCUUUUUUGAGUUUCCCUUCUAUUAUUUUUUUAUGGUUCUACAUAAGGAUUGAACUAUGAUUUGUUUAUCUGCAGUGGUGUUUUGGAUUAGUUGGGUAAAUUUCUUUGCUCCUUUUCAGCUGGAGUUCUCUGGCAUUUCUUUCUCCUAUGGAUGAUAUGAAAAGCAGAAGGACCAAGGGCCUCGACAUAACCUAUUUUUCUGCUACGGACUAUGAUUUGUUUAUCUGCAGUGGUGUAACACGUUUCUAUACUUCUUCCUUUUAUUAAGAGCUUAGUUCGUUUUCUUGAUUUUUUUGCUGUAUAGGUAGUUCGUUUUCUUGAAUUUUUGGGCUAUACAGGGAAGGCACGGAAUGGAUGUGAAAUGAAGUAUUAUGUUUUGUUACCUUUAAGUCUUUUUUGAGUUUCCCUUCUAUUAUUUUUUUAUGGUUUUACAUAAGGAUUGAACUAUGAUUUGUUUAUCUGCAGUGGUGUUUUGGAUUAGUUGGGUAACGUUGCAUAUUCUUCUUAUCAAGUUUCUAUAAUUAGUAAAUUCAUUUAGGUCUAUAUGAGGAUGACGAGUUUUGAACCUUCUGCGUAAAUUUCUUUGCACCUUUUCAGCUGGAGUUCUCUGGCAUUUAUUUCUCCUAUGGAUGAUAUGAAAAGCAGAAGGAUCAAGGGGCUCGACAUAACCUAAGUCUUUUUUGAGUUUUAUUUCUUCUUUUUUUUCCUGGUAUUUAUGACAGUACAUAAGGAUUGAACUAUGAUUUGUUUAUCUGCAGUGGUGUUUGGAUUAGUUGGAUAACGACGCAUAUUCAUCUUACAAGUUUCUAUAACUAGUAAAUUCAUUUACGUGAAUUUUGAGUAUAAUUCUCUAUUUGAGUGUGACGAGUUUUAAACCUUUUGCCUAUCUGGUAUUGAUCACGAAAAUAAGGAUUGGACUAUGAUUUGUUUAUCUGCAGUGGUGUAACACGUCUCUAUACUUCUUCCUUUUAUUAAGAGCUUAGUUCGUUUUCUUGAAUUUUUGGGUUGUACAGGGAAGACACACAAUGGAUGUGAAAUGAAGAUUAUGUUUUGUUACCCUUAACUUUUUUAUGGGUUUAUUCGUGACUGAUCAUUUGAUUUCGUAGUCUAACUUUGUGUUUAUGUUCACUCCCCUUCAGCAAUUGGAGUUUCUGAGAUUUGAAACCCUAAAAAGUUUAAAACGGUUGCAGCUCAGGAUAUCCCAAUUCUCUCUAUCUAUUGUUUAAUUUCUCUCUACUUGAUCUCCAAGGAUUGAAUUGUGCUCGACUAUUUUACCUUAAAGUCCUGCAGCAUCUCAUGGAGUGUGUUAUGAGGCCCUAAGGGUUGAAUUGGUGUUUGAAUUAUUUUCGCCUAAUGUCCUGCAGAGUAUGUUAUGAGAUUUAAGGGUUGAAUUGUGAUUUGUUUCCUGUUUGGAUGAUUUGCAUAGUGUCCUGCAUCCUAUGGAAUAUGUAUGGUUUUCGCACGGUCAUCGCGAGUAUGUUAUGGCCACCAUCUUCCUUGGUUAUUUAAGUCUUCAAUUUAUCUUAUCGUUCUAUAGUUCAUCCUUGAUUACCAGUUAUACUUUGUUGAAUUAUUGUUCUUCACAGGGAUGUGUGGGGGUAGGACAGGGAUGUGUGGGUAGGACUUUCCUCGUGGUUGGUUGAAAAUGAUGGAUGAGUCAUGCUUGACGGUAUGAAAAACACAAUGACAAAGGGCUCGACAUAACCUAAGUCUUUUUUGAGUUUUCCUUAUAUUUUUUCUUUUUCCUGUUAUUGAUCACAGUACAUAAGGAUAUGAUUUGUUUAUCUGCAGUGGUGUUUGGAUUGGUUACGAUGCAUAUUCAUCUUACAAGUGGUGGCUGGUUUUUUGGCAUUUCUUUUACCUAUGGAUUAUAUGAAAAGCACAACGACCAAGCAUUUCUAUUAUUUUUAUGGUAUUACAUAAGGAUUGAACUAUGAUUUGUUUAUAUGCAGUGGUGUUUGGAUUAGUUGUGUAACGUCUAUGUUCAUCGAAUCAAGUUUCUGUAAUUAGUAAAUUCAUUUAGGUGAAUUCUGAGUAUAAUUCUCUAUUUGAGGAUGACGAGUUUUAUCCUUUUGCAUAAAUUUCUUCUCACCUUUUCAGUUGGUGGCUGGUUCUCUGGCAUUUCUUUUGGCUAUGGAUGAUAUGAAAAGCACAACGACCAAGGGGCUCGACAUAACCUUCAAGUCUUUUUUGAGUUUUCCUUCUAUUUUUCUUUAUCCCGGUAUUGAUCACAAUACAUAAGGAUAUGAUUUGUUUAUCUGCAGUGGUGCUUGGAUUAGUUGGGUAACGUAGCAUAUUCAUCUUAUCAAAUUUCUAUAAUUAGUAAAUUCAUUUAGGUGAAUUCUGAGUAUAAUUCUCUAUUUGAGGAUGAAGAGUUUUGAACCUUUCGCAUAAAUUUUUUUUCACCUUUUCAGCUGGUGGCUGGUUCUCUGGCUUUUUUUUUGCCUAUGGUGAUAUGAAGAGAACAACGACCAAGGGCUCAACAUAACCUAAGUCUUUUUUUAGUUUUGCUUCUAUUAUUUAUAUUUUCUGGUAUUGAUCACCUACCACAAGGAUUGUAAUAUGUUUUUUUUUAUCUGCAGUGGUGUUUGUGUAACGUCGCAUAUUCAUCUUAUCAACUUUCUAUACUUCCUCCCUCUUAUUAGCGAUUAUCUUUUCCUUCAAUUUUUGGACUGUACAGGGUUUAUCGUUUCCUUCAGUUAAAUUCGGUUUUCGUGUUCAUUCCUUUUCAGCAAGUCCCGAGUCUGAGAUUUCUUUUGGCGGUUGAGGAACUAGAGUUUAGAAUGGUUGCACAUCAGGAUAUCCUAAUUUCUCAAUGAGUGUAUCCUCUAUUAUUUUAUUUAAUCUCAGCAGCGGUGUUUAGAUGAUUUUUGCUUAUUGUACUUCAUCUCAUGAGUGUGUUAGGAGGGCGACAGUGUCUCCCUUAAUUUUUUGAUUUAUCUAAUCAUCCGUUAUAGAUUUGUUGUAUUAUUGUUCUUUAGGGAUGUGUGGGCUUAUAGUUUUGUUGAAUUAUUGUUCUUUACAGGGAUGUGUUGGGUAGGACGUGGAAACCAUGUCGGGAUAUUUCUUGAACUGUGAAUCAUUCGUUUUUUUUCCUACUCUUACACUAGUUUUUUCUAUUGCAUUAGUUUGUAUUUGGCCAACCUUGUUGGUUCGAUUUUUAUUUUUUCUUCUUAGGCAUAACCAAAUAAAUAUUGGAGGGCUAAUGAAUGUCCUAUUUUAACAUAUGAUCACGACAAAUGGUCUCUUGGCAGCUUGAUUUUAUGAUCCGUGUCUCUAUGCACUGUGACCUUAGGCACUUUGGUGGUCUCAGGCCUAGAUAAAUUGAAAAGAAGUAUCUUGGAGUCAUUCCCUUCAUUUUAGUAGUGGUAAUUAGCAAGAGCUCAGGACUAUUUGGCUCCAAUUUUUUUAUUACAAAACUUUAUUUUGUCUUAGUUUUCUUUUUUUGACAAAUGAAUUUUCGGAAACAGUGAAUGGAGGUCCAGUGAAACUUUAGGUUUUAUUAUCUUUGCAUUCAUUAUUAUUUUCUUUGCGGUUAUUCUUUUGGCUAACCUUGUGGCUAAACAUGUAGAGUGGCAGUUCUUGUAAACAGGCACUAUAUGAGUAUGAUAGGCUUUGACAUUUGUUUUGUUGUGCCUUCGAUUAUCUUCUUCUACUUGGGUUGCAGUGACUUACUAUGAGCGGUUCCCAUGGUUUUCAAUUUUUGAAUUUACCUUAACUUUUCUUUACUCUGUCAUGUCAUGCUUUUAAGAAAAUUAGUUUUCUCAAAUCCCCAUGCUUCUGGUUGAGCUUUUACAGGAAAACUAUAGAUAUAUGGGGCAGGUUUCGGAAAUAAUUAUUGGACUUUACAGGGAAUUCAUGGGCUACCCAAAAUGAGGUGUGAAUUAUGUGAUAUGUGAAGCUCAAUGUUUUUAUUAACGGUACAUUGUAGUAUCUGAAUUAAUUUUUAACUGGCUCAACUUGUUGGUUUGAUUAUAAUCUUGGUUGUAUUUUGAUGGUGUAUGGUUCAUAAGUGGCAUUGUGAGCAUGGGACAAGUGCGGUUGGACUUUAUUUUUUGAUUUGAUAGUUUGCUUCUUGGUUUGAAAAGUUUAGGAUUUAGGGUUUAUUUGACGCCUUUUGGAUAAUCCUCUGAUAUAGGUCUUUGGCUCUUUAUUAGUUUUCCAAACCUUUGAUUCAUUAUUCUUGAUGAGUAAGCAUAUGGGUUGAGUUGUUGAGGUAUGAAUUUGUUUGAAAUUGUUUCAUGUCCCUGGAGUCUUAUUUUGACUGACAGCAAUGUCUCUUACUAUGAAUGACAGUAAUCUCUGAGCCUAUUAUGUGUAUGGAAAUUUUUGAAGUCAGUAUAAUAAUAUCUCACAACUUUGGUCACAUUUCUAUUUUACAUAUAAAUUAUUAACAAAGGGAGGAGAUAAAACAAGUUGUUAUGUAGUAGUAGAAUCUAUUUCUCUUUGAAAUUAUUGUUAAGGACCUACGAGUCAAGUUUUUAUAUUUAAUUUUUUUCCUAUACCAGUCAAUGAUAUAACUCAGCCGUGAAUCUUGAUCAUUCCUUUCUAUAUAUAUACCCAAUAUCUGUUUUGUUGGUAUUGCUUCAGUUAUUGUUGUGAUUCUUUACAAGGUUUUGUGGAAUUACAUGAUGUUUGUGUCGUGGGAUAGAAGAAUUAUUAAGAAUUAUUAGUAAACCGCUUCAUGAAAUUUGAUAUUAGUUUUUUUUUUUCCUUUUUAAAAUGCAGAG
This 4762-nucleotide long non-coding RNA is filed under the name Phaseolus vulgaris (common bean). Its description in RNAcentral is "long non-coding RNA (PVUL_LNC004094)". The record is from RNAcentral. Lineage: Eukaryota; Viridiplantae; Streptophyta; Magnoliopsida; Fabales; Fabaceae.